RNAcentral lists this ribosomal RNA (482 nucleotides) under uncultured bacterium. Its description in RNAcentral is "partial 16S ribosomal RNA". It matches the Rfam family "Bacterial small subunit ribosomal RNA", at positions 28 to 507 of the family's 1533-position model. The record is from RNAcentral.
GACGAACGCUGGCGGCGUGCCUAACACAUGCAAGUCGAACGGAACGGUUUUGAAAGAUUUCUUCGGAAUUAAUUUGAUUUAGUUUAGUGGCGGACGGGUGAGUAACGCUUUAGUAACCUGCCUUCAAGAGGGGAAUAACAUUCUGAAAAGAAUGCUAAUACCGCAUGACAUAUCGGAACCACAUGGUUUUUAUAUCAAAGAUUUUAUCGCUUGAAGAUGGACUCGCGUCCGUUUAGUUAGUUGGCGAGGUAACGGCUCACCAAGACCGCGAUCGGUAGCCGGAAGGAGAGGUUGAACGGCCAAAUGGGGACUGAGACACGGCCCAGACUCCUACGGGAGGCAGCAGUGGGGGAUCUUGCGAAAUCGGGGCAACCCUGACGCAGCAACGCAGCGUGAAGGAUGAAGGUUUUCGGAUUGUAAAAUUCUUUUAUUAAGGACGAAAAAUGACGGUACUUAAUGAAUAAGCCCCGGCUAACUACGUG